RNAcentral lists this ribosomal RNA (425 nucleotides) under uncultured bacterium. Its description in RNAcentral is "bacterial SSU rRNA". It matches the Rfam family "Bacterial small subunit ribosomal RNA", at positions 354 to 796 of the family's 1533-position model. The record is from RNAcentral.
GUAAGGAAUAUUGGACAAUGGGCGCAAGCCUGAUCCAGCCAUGACGCGUGAGUGAUGAAGGCCUUAGGGUUGUAAAGCUCUUUCGUCAGGGAAGAUAAUGACGGUACCUGAAGAAGAAGCCCCGGCUAACUUCGUGCCAGCAGCCGCGGUAAUACGAAGGGGGCUAGCGUUGCUCGGAAUCACUGGGCGUAAAGCGCGCGUAGGCGGCUUUCUAAGUCAGGGGUGAAAUCCUGGAGCUCAACUCCAGAACUGCCUUUGAUACUGGAGAGCUUGAGUUCGGGAGAGGUGAGUGGAACUGCGAGUGUAGAGGUGAAAUUCGUAGAUAUUCGCAAGAACACCAGUGGCGAAGGCGGCUCACUGGCCCGAUACUGACGCUGAGGUGCGAAAGCGUGGGGAGCAAACAGGAUUAGAUACCCGUGUAGUCC